RNAcentral lists this long non-coding RNA (340 nucleotides) under Sorghum bicolor (sorghum). RNAcentral's name for it is "long non-coding RNA (SBIC_LNC013376)". Lineage: Eukaryota; Viridiplantae; Streptophyta; Magnoliopsida; Poales; Poaceae. The record is from RNAcentral.
CCGGAGCGAAACAUCGCGAGCUACGGCCAGGCCGAGCCGCCGGUGUACGAGAUGUCCGGCAUCCCGGCGGGCUUCCCGCUCUUCCUCAGCUACGGCGGCCGGGACUCGCUCGCCGACCCCGCCGACGUGCGCCUCCUGCUGCAGGACCUCCGGGGCCACGACCGCGACAAGCUCACGGUGCAGUACCUUGACCAGUUCGCGCACCUCGACUUCAUCAUCGGCGUCUGCGCCAAGGACUACGUCUACAAGGACAUGAUCGCCUUCCUCAACCGCUUCAACUAGUAGUAGCUAUAGCUACUAGUUCAGUGACUGCCAUCUUCAGUCUUCCACUCACUGCAGG